Molecule: ribosomal RNA, 353 nt
Filed under: uncultured delta proteobacterium
Lineage: Bacteria; Deltaproteobacteria
Description: bacterial SSU rRNA
Rfam family: Bacterial small subunit ribosomal RNA
Source: RNAcentral
GAGGCUGAGGGGAAAAGAUGGCCUCUGUAUACAAGCUAUCACACCUGGAUGAGCCCGCGGCCCAUCAGCUAGUUGGCGGGGUAAUGGCCCACCAAGGCAACGACGGGUAGCUGGUCUGAGAGGACGAUCAGCCACACUGGAACUGAGACACGGUCCAGACUCCUACGGGAGGCAGCAGUGGGGAAUUUUGCGCAAUGGGCGAAAGCCUGACGCAGCAACGCCGCGUGUGUGAUGAAGGUCUUCGGAUUGUAAAGCACUUUCGACCGGGACGAAAACCCUGAGGCUAAUACUCUCAGGCUUGACGGUACCGGGAGAAGAAGCACCGGCUAACUCUGUGCCAGCAGCCGCGGUAA